GAUGAACGCUAGCGGGAGGCCUAACACAUGCAAGCCGAGCGGUAUUGUUUCUUCGGAAAUGAGAGAGCGGCGUACGGGUGCGGAACACGUGUGCAACCUGCCUUUAUCUGGGGGAUAGCCUUUCGAAAGGAAGAUUAAUACUCCAUAACAUAUUGAACGGCAUCGUUUGAUAUUGAAAGCUCCGGCGGAUAGAGAUGGGCACGCGUAAGAUUAGCUAGUUGGUGAGGUAACGGCUCACCAAGGCGAUGAUCUUUAGGGGGCCUGAGAGGGUGAUCCCCCACACUGGUACUGAGACACGGACCAGACUCCUACGGGAGGCAGCAGUGAGGAAUAUUGGUCAAUGGGUGCAAGCCUGAACCAGCCAUCCCGCGUGAAGGACGACUGCCCUAUGGGUUGUAAACUUCUUUUGUAUAGGGAUAAACCUACCCUCGUGAGGGUAGCUGAAGGUACUAUACGAAUAAGCACCGGCUAACUCCGUGCCAGCAGCCGCGGUAAAACGUG
Molecule: ribosomal RNA, 501 nt
Filed under: uncultured bacterium
Lineage: Bacteria
Description: bacterial SSU rRNA
Rfam family: Bacterial small subunit ribosomal RNA
Source: RNAcentral